AGCAGCCGUGCGCGGGGAAACGAGUGACUUUUGAACAGGUCUGGUGAGAAGCGUCUGUUCUCCACCGCGCCGACGUGAGUAGCGAAAGAGAACAAGCAUCAUUUCAUAUCGGCUUUUCUCGCAUCGCACCCCAUUUGGGGUUCAGGGGUAAUCGGGGGCCAUCUGGUUACAGACCAAGGACACUUUGGCUUUCACCAAACCAGCUCAUCCAUCCAGACUCCGCCACUGUUGUGACUCUCGCAGACAGAGGAACACACUGUUGAGAGGCUGUUUCCUCCUGACCGGUUUCCCUGCAACAUUUCCCUUCAGCCAGCAGUGCACUGGCCGUUUGGCACAAUGAACCGCCAUGAAUAAUUCAGCAAGGAGAGGUGCGAUAGAAAGCGAGGAGACAGAGGAGAGGAGGUGGAAACCAGACGAGAGGAGAGGAGGUUGCCCAAAACGAGAGGCAGGGAGCAUGACAGCGUGUAUUAGGGAAAACCUGGAUCCUGCUCUACCUUGAAAUCAAGAGCCAAGCGAGCCCUGCCUGGGUCGGCCAAUCACGUGUUGACACCCGCACAGGUAGAGAGGCAGCCGUGAUGAUGACGGAACCAAUGUUAUUCGAAGCUCUACCAAGAAAACGGGACCAGGACAACCGCUCACCCCUCCUCCUAUCACUAUCAACCAUUGGAAACAUGUCUCCCUCUUCCUGCAGUCCCAAACCUUUCUCCCUUAAUAUUCAACUAUCCAGCGUGAAUGACAGAAAUGCACACGUACGUAAAAACAAUGACGCUUGACAGGCAAACACGCUGCUGCUACACUGUGCUGGGCCUCGUUGUGGCUCGGACAUGAAUGACUGCAGCGUCAAUCCAGACCUUAAUCUUCUUAAUUUUAGAUGCUGCUGAUGAGACGGGGACUGUAUGAUUAAUCAUCUACUAUACAGUUUUCCCAGAGGGGUAUUAACCUGCUUUGGCAAAGUAAGCUACUACAGGCUCAUUGGGUAAAAGGUCUGAAAUUCUUAUUUGAUACCAGUUAAACUACCUCUGUAUGUUCAAAUGGGUUUUUUUCAAAAUGUUGAACCUGGUUCUAAAAUGUCCAUUAAUCACCUGCAGCCAAAACAUAACCAAUUUUCCUUGAGUCUGAUUUGCCAAAUUGAUGGAUUUUGUCAUGACUAACAAACCUUCGCUUGAUCAUCUCCAAACAAAACCAUAGAAUUAUUUGGCUAUGCAUUUUUAUUUAUUUAAUUAUCUUUUUAUCCAAAGAUAAACUGGGUCUACUGUGUC
Long non-coding RNA from Scophthalmus maximus (turbot), 1259 nucleotides. RefSeq lists it as uncharacterized. The transcript is spliced from 4 exons. NCBI's taxonomy places the organism in Eukaryota, Metazoa, Chordata, Actinopteri, Pleuronectiformes, Scophthalmidae. The record is from RefSeq and is a predicted model, not a curated record.